UGUUAGGAUAAUUAUGCAUCAGAAGGCAUGUCCAGAUGCUUAUGAUUUUUUAGCAAUAAGCGCA
This 64-nucleotide transfer RNA is filed under the name Ditylum brightwellii. The record is from RNAcentral. Lineage: Eukaryota; Bacillariophyta; Thalassiosirophyceae; Lithodesmiales; Lithodesmiaceae.